This is a non-coding RNA of Salmo salar (Atlantic salmon), 377 nucleotides long. The record is from RefSeq and is a predicted model, not a curated record. NCBI's taxonomy places the organism in Eukaryota, Metazoa, Chordata, Actinopteri, Salmoniformes, Salmonidae.
CUCUCUCUCUCUCUCUGUCUAGGAGAAGAGCCAGGUUCUGUGUGUAACAGUAUUGUUGGGGCUGACCUACAGUGAUAACUCUCUGGUGAAGGCUGCUGCAGUCAGAGCUCUGGGAGUCUACAUUCUGUUCCCGUGUCUACGAGAGGAUGUGAUGUUUGUAGCAGACACGGCCAAUGCCAUCCUGACAGCCCUGGACGACCGCUCACCCAAUGUCCGCUCCAAGGCCGCCUGGUCGCUAGGCAACCUCACCGACACACUCAUCGUCAACAUGGAAUGUGUUGGGGAGGUCUUCCAGGAGGAGCUGUCUGAUAUGUUAGUGCUCCAGAUGCUGCAGUCAGCCACCAAGGCUGCUUUUGACAAGGACAGGGUGAGAACAC